RNAcentral lists this ribosomal RNA (506 nucleotides) under uncultured bacterium. Its description in RNAcentral is "partial 16S ribosomal RNA". It matches the Rfam family "Bacterial small subunit ribosomal RNA", at positions 30 to 523 of the family's 1533-position model. The record is from RNAcentral.
AUUGAACGCUGGCGGCAGGCCUAACACAUGCAAGUCGAACGGUAACAGAAAGCAGCUUGCUGCUUUGCUGACGAGUGGCGGACGGGUGAGUAAUGUCUGGGAAACUGCCUGAUGGAGGGGGAUAACUACUGGAAACGGUAGCUAAUACCGCAUAACGUCGCAAGACCAAAGAGGGGGACCUUCGGGCCUCUUGCCAUCGGAUGUGCCCAGAUGGGAUUAGCUUGUUGGUGGGGUAACGGCUCACCAAGGCGACGAUCCCUAGCUGGUCUGACAGGAUGACCAGCCACACUGGAACUGAGACACGGUCCAGACUCCUACGGGAGGCAGCAGUGGGGAAUAUUGCACAAUGGGCGCAAGCCUGAUGCAGCCAUGCCGCGUGUAUGAAGAAGGCCUUCGGGUCGUAAAGUACUUUCAGCGGGGAGGAAGGGAGUAAAGUUAAUACCUUUGCUCAUUGACGUUACCCGCAGAAGAAGCACCGGCUAACUCCGUGCCAGCCGCCGCGGUAA